This 252-nucleotide ribosomal RNA is filed under the name uncultured bacterium. RNAcentral's name for it is "partial 16S ribosomal RNA". It matches the Rfam family "Bacterial small subunit ribosomal RNA", at positions 524 to 776 of the family's 1533-position model. The record is from RNAcentral.
UACGAAGGGGGCUAGCGUUGCUCGGAAUCACUGGGCGUAAAGCGCACGUAGGCGGCUUUCUAAGUCAGGGGUGAAAUCCUGGAGCUCAACUCCAGAACUGCCUUUGAUACUGGAAGCUUGAGUCCGGGAGAGGUGAGUGGAACUGCGAGUGUAGAGGUGAAAUUCGUAGAUAUUCGCAAGAACACCAGUGGCGAAGGCGGCUCACUGGCCCGGUACUGACGCUGAGGUGCGAAAGCGUGGGGAGCAAACAGG